GAUGAACGCUGGCGGCGUGCCUAAUACAUGCAAGUCGAGCGAACAGAUGAGGAGCUUGCUCCUCUGACGUUAGCGGCGGACGGGUGAGUAACACGUGGAUAACCUACCUAUAUGACUGGGAUACCUUCGGGAAACCGGAGCUCAUACCGGAUAAUAUAUUGAACCGCAUGGGUCAAUAGUGAAAGAGGGUUUUGCUGUCACUUAUAGAUGGAUCCGCGCCGUAUUAGCUAGUUGGUAAGGUAACGGCUUACCAAGGCAACGAUGCGUAGCCGACCUGAGAGGGUGAACGGCGACAGUGGAACUGAGACACGGUCCAGAGUCCUACGGGAGGCAGCAGUAGGGAAGCUUCCGCAAUGGGCGGAAGCCUGACGGAGCAACGCCGCGUGAGUGAUGAAGGUCUUCGGAUCGUAAAACUCUGUUAUUAGGGAAGAACAAAUGUGUAAGUAACUAUGCACGUCUUGACGGUACCUAAUCAGAAAGCCACGGCUAACUACGUG
Molecule: ribosomal RNA, 497 nt
Filed under: uncultured bacterium
Lineage: Bacteria
Description: partial 16S ribosomal RNA
Rfam family: Bacterial small subunit ribosomal RNA
Source: RNAcentral